AGGGCUGGACUCAGCGGCGGAGCU
This 24-nucleotide microRNA is filed under the name Homo sapiens (human). RNAcentral's name for it is "hsa-miR-5001-5p". The record is from miRBase by way of RNAcentral. Lineage: Eukaryota; Metazoa; Chordata; Mammalia; Primates; Hominidae.